This 503-nucleotide ribosomal RNA is filed under the name uncultured bacterium. RNAcentral's name for it is "bacterial SSU rRNA". It matches the Rfam family "Bacterial small subunit ribosomal RNA", at positions 8 to 507 of the family's 1533-position model. The record is from RNAcentral.
AGAGUUUGAUCCUGGCUCAGGAUGAACGCUAGCGGCAGGCUUAAUACAUGCAAGUCGAGGGGCAGCACGAAUAGCAAUAUUUGGUGGCGACCGGCGCACGGGUGCGUAACACGUAUACAACCUACCUAUAACAGGGGAAUAGCCUUUCGAAAGAGAGAUUAAUACCCCGUAAUAAAUUGAGUGGCAUCACUUGAUUUUGAAAGCUCCGGCGGUUAUAGAUGGGUAUGCGUCUGAUUAGCUAGUUGGUGAGGUAAUGGCUCACCAAGGCGACGAUCAGUAGGGGAUCUGAGAGGACUAACCCCCACACUGGUACUGAGACACGGACCAGACUCCUACGGGAGGCAGCAGUAAGGAAUAUUGGUCAAUGGAGGCAACUCUGAACCAGCCAUGCCGCGUGCAGGAUGACGGCCCUAUGGGUUGUAAACUGCUUUUGUACCAGAGAAAACCCCAGUACGUGUACUGGGUUGAUAGUAUGGUAAGAAUAAGCAUCGGCUAACUUCGUG